RNAcentral lists this long non-coding RNA (223 nucleotides) under Nicotiana benthamiana. Its description in RNAcentral is "long non-coding RNA (NBEN_LNC002083)". The record is from RNAcentral. Lineage: Eukaryota; Viridiplantae; Streptophyta; Magnoliopsida; Solanales; Solanaceae.
UCCUAUGGGUUCCUCGAACAAGUCAGCAAACUCAGUCAAAAGCCUCUCUAAUUGACUUUGUUUUGCAUCAGAUUCAUAGAGUAGAUAUGUGUGUUCAAGAGCAUGUUUGCUGCCUCUCAGCCUCAAGUAUAAUUUGCUUCCUGUUCACAGUAAAGCUCAUUCUAAGUGCAGCAAAAUCCUUAGGAAAGAGCCCAAAUUUUUUAUUCCUUGCACAAUAUCGAAC